AUAAGCGGAGGAAAGAACUAACAAGGAUUCCCCUAGUAACGGCGAGUGAAGCGGGAAGAGCUCAAAUUUGAAAUCUGGUGGCCUCAGGUCAUCCGAGUUGUAAUCUAUAGAAGUGUUUUCCGUGCUGGCUCAUGUACAAGUCCCUUGGAACAGGGCGUCAUAGAGGGUGAGAAUCCCGUCCUUGACAUGAACUACCAGUGCUCUGUGAUACAUUUUCAACGAGUCGAGUUGUUUGGGAAUGCAGCUCAAAAUGGGUGGUAAAUUCCAUCUAAAGCUAAAUAUUGGCGAGAGACCGAUAGCGAACAAGUACCGUGAGGGAAAGAUGAAAAGCACUUUGGAAAGAGAGUUAAACAGUAUGUGAAAUUGUUAAAAGGGAAACGAUUGAAGUCAGUCGUGCUCUUUGGAUUCAGCCGGUUCUGCCGGUGUACUUCCUUUGAGUGGGGUCAACAUCAGUUUUGAUCGCUGGAUAAAGGCUGGAGGAACGUAGUACCCUCGGGUAAACUUAUAGCCUCCUGUCACAUACAGUGGUUGGGACUGAGGAACGCAGCACGCCUUUAUGGCCGGGAUUCGUCCACGUACGUGCUUAGGAUGUUGACAUAAUGGCUUUAAACGACCCGUCUUGAACCCCCGUCGCCCUUCGGGGACGUUCGGAGCU
This 655-nucleotide ribosomal RNA is filed under the name Filobasidium magnum. Its description in RNAcentral is "eukaryotic LSU rRNA". It matches the Rfam family "Eukaryotic large subunit ribosomal RNA", at positions 46 to 664 of the family's 3401-position model. The record is from RNAcentral. Lineage: Eukaryota; Fungi; Basidiomycota; Tremellomycetes; Filobasidiales; Filobasidiaceae.